AUCUGGCCAUAUCACCCUGAAAAAAACAAUCUCAUCUGAUCUCAGAAGCUAAGUGGCUCCAAGCCUAAGUUAGUAAUUGGAUGGGAGACCACCUAGGAAUAAUGGGUGACAUAGGUU
This 117-nucleotide ribosomal RNA is filed under the name Phascolarctos cinereus (koala). The record is from RNAcentral. Lineage: Eukaryota; Metazoa; Chordata; Mammalia; Diprotodontia; Phascolarctidae.